UAUCUUCAAAAGGCAAAGGACCGUUACAUUGCAAGAGAACUGGCGUUACUGAGGGCAUCCAAACCCUACCCGCCGAUGGUAUCCCAACUCGAUGAGACCAAUGAAGCUGCUGUAGAAGGGGGGAUCAGAAGGAAGUUUGAGGACCCUUCCUGAGUCCCACCUGACAGUGAGGUUGAGGCCCCAUCCGCUGCUGAGCCGUUUGAAACUCCUUCCGCCAGUGCAGUCCUUGCGCAAACCUGCCAGCCAUUCACCAAGAAAUCGGUUGUUAAGAGAAACAAGCCAGUUUUGAGGACUUCGUCCCCUCGCUGCAAGAACUUUGGGAUCCUUGCUGCUGAGCUGAAGGUGGUUAAAGAGCUGCUGGAAGCCAAAGUAGAACGGAAUGAUGAACUCAACCAUUUGCACUUUUCAACCAGCCGAGAAAAAGCAGUGAAGUACAAGAGGCUCAAGUCGUUUUCACCAUCGAAAGUGCCGCAAUACGUUAAACUGGUGGAAGAGUUCAGGGAGCACACGGAAGGAAGCGAUGCCACACUGUCAAAAAAGAGGUACAAUACAGGUCCGUUUUUGUUCC
Molecule: long non-coding RNA, 568 nt
Organism: Etheostoma spectabile (orangethroat darter)
Lineage: Eukaryota; Metazoa; Chordata; Actinopteri; Perciformes; Percidae
Exons: 3
Source: RefSeq, a predicted model, not a curated record